CCAUGCAUUUCUGCUGUAUUAUCCCCUCUCUCUCUCCCACUGAUCGCGCACAUACACAGACUAGUGAGCUACCACGCAUGUAAGAACACAGAGCUGUAACUGCAAGUCAAUGCCAAGCUGAUAGUCGUAAGAGUACCUGUAAACCUAACAAAUAUAUUCCCUUAUUCUACAUCUCAACCUGCAGCUUCUAUAUAUAGAGAGUCAUUCACUUUUCCGCCUUCAUCAUUCCUAUUAAUUUCUUCAGCCCAGGGCUGAAAGUCUAUGUUGAUAAUACUGGGCAUAUAGUCUGUUUGAUCAUGGCUAAUGGAGAAUGAUCAGGAGACUCCUACAGAUGAUUUGGUCAGAAGCCCGUCUAUAUAUAUAUAUAUAUAUAUAUAUAUAUAUAUAUAUGAUUUAACUGGGUGAGUGGUUUCCACGCUACUCUUGUCAAGUGAACAAUUUCUGGUUGAUUUUCCUUGAUCUCGUUGUCUGUUCGACCUUGAGGUUUUCAAUGCUUGUCUAUCUGCAGAGGAAUAUAUAUAUAUAUAUAUGAUCAUAUGUUACAAAAAGUCAAUUUCUUUAUAAACGAAAAAAAUAAAAAAGUGAUUUGAAUGUAAUUAUCUCAUUCGUACUUUUGUUGGACUUUUUUCUUAAUGUUUAUUGCUAUUUUUUCUUCUUUUGUUAAUUCUGCAUAUUAGAAAAAAAGAAGGAUGAAACCAUGCAGCUAGUAAUCAUAUUAGAACUUCAAGGAAAACCCUCAUUAUUUCAACUCAUCCUGUUAUAGAUAAUGAAGAUGUUUGUUUGGUGACAAGAUCAAUAGCUUAAUCGUUGAGCAAUUUCCUCUAUGGUUAUAACCAAAUCGUCCAAGGUCUUGUGGCUUGGAGUUGCACUUCGAACAGAUAUCACAAAGCUUGUCGUUAUCAUUCCUUCGAGCAGCUAGGCCCAUGUUCAUGUACAUUGCUCUUUUUCUCUGUAUGUUUUUGUCCUGGAAAUUUCCCUACGAAUAACUUAGCCCCCUAGCUAGAAGAAAGACCCGUUUACUUAUCCCAAAGAUUUAAGGUUUUCCCUUGUUGAGGAUUUAAGGUUUUCUUGCGCACUUUAUUAAUAAGUUUUGUUUCCUUGUUUUUUAUUUAAUAUUCAAUAUACAAGUCUAAUUCAUUAUAGCAGACAAAUUAAAUAAUUAGAACCAUGCUAUAAAUGUAAAGUGUAAUUAUUCAAGUAAACUUCAAGGUCGUACAGACAACGAAUUAAGGCACGUCCAGCAGAACUGCUUGCUUGACAAGCCUUUGCGUGGACACCAACCACCAAUCUAUUUCGUAGCAAGGUGAAACAUCGCCGGUGACAGAUUUUAUACUCGUAUUUCCUUUUCAAAAGUCUCGGCGGGUUGAAUCGAUCAAAAUCCCAGACAAAUUAGUGUCAGUUGAGACCAUGAAUGAUGGAGAAUGAAUUACAGCAAUGAAAAUGGGUUUUUAUCUAUUUAGGAAUUUAAUAUUGUAUGGCUACUAAUUUAUUUGAACGAAUCUAAUAAUCUAACUCCAGUAUAAUCAA
Populus trichocarpa (black cottonwood) is the source of this 1527-nucleotide long non-coding RNA. RefSeq lists it as uncharacterized. The record is from RefSeq and is a predicted model, not a curated record. Lineage: Eukaryota; Viridiplantae; Streptophyta; Magnoliopsida; Malpighiales; Salicaceae. The transcript is spliced from 2 exons.